CCUACGGGAGGCAGCAGUGGGGAAUAUUGGACAAUGGGCGAAAGCCUGAUCCAGCCAUGCCGCGUGUGUGAAGAAGGCCUUCGGGUUGUAAAGCACUUUCAGUGGGGAAGAAAGCCUUGGGGCUAAUGCCCUCGAGGAAGGACAUCACCCACAGAAGAAGCACCGGCUAACUCCGUGCCAGCAGCCGCGGUAAUACGGAGGGUGCGAGCGUUAAUCGGAAUUACUGGGCGUAAAGCGCGCGUAGGCGGUCUGAUAAGCCGGUUGUGAAAGCCCCGGGCUCAACCUGGGAACGGCAUCCGGAACUGUCAGGCUAGAGUGCAGGAGAGGAAGGUAGAAUUCCCGGUGUAGCGGUGAAAUGCGUAGAGAUCGGGAGGAAUACCAGUGGCGAAGGCGGCCUUCUGGACUGACACUGACGCUGAGGUGCGAAAGCGUGGGUAGCAAACAGGAUUAGAUACCCGUGUAGUC
This 465-nucleotide ribosomal RNA is filed under the name Vreelandella stevensii. RNAcentral describes it as "partial 16S ribosomal RNA". It matches the Rfam family "Bacterial small subunit ribosomal RNA", at positions 338 to 795 of the family's 1533-position model. The record is from RNAcentral. Lineage: Bacteria; Pseudomonadati; Pseudomonadota; Gammaproteobacteria; Oceanospirillales; Halomonadaceae.